This 1855-nucleotide long non-coding RNA is filed under the name Eutrema salsugineum. RNAcentral's name for it is "long non-coding RNA (ESAL_LNC001708)". Lineage: Eukaryota; Viridiplantae; Streptophyta; Magnoliopsida; Brassicales; Brassicaceae. The record is from RNAcentral.
UCUCUUCAGCAUUUUAGAACGUGUAAGAGUAUUAUAUAAGCUCCUCUUAGUCCAUUGUAAAAACUCACAUUUCAAUCAAUAAAUACAAAGUUUCUUGUUUUCUUUCAAAGUUGUCUUUUUGAGGAAUUAUUCUUUUUUUUUAAUACAAGUGUGUGAUUCACUUCUAUUUUUUAGAAGCCACAAAUUUAGUUGUUUGUGUGACUCAAAUAACUUGUUCACCGAUUGAUAGAGUCAAUCAUCCCAUCGAUUGAGAGAGUCAAUCAAACCAUCACCUUCUAUCUUAACAUCACGCCCACUUCCACAACAAAACUUGCAGGUAUAUUUGACAAUCUUGUGAAGCAUAAAAUUUGGUGUGACUCCAAUCUUAUAUCAUUAGGAUAGUCCUUUUUGAGUACUGGAUCUAGUUUUAAUAGCAGAACGUUGAAGCGUGACACUGAGGACUGUCAUUGUUCACCUCUUUUGACUCCUAUGAAACAAUUUCGGCUGCCAGAUGAAAUAUUUUUUAAUAUGCUUUUUGGGCAUUUCUUUAGCCUUUCUUCUUGUUUUUUUCUAUUCGCUCAUAUUUCUCGACUUUGUCUUACCUCGAGUAUUCAAACUCCUUAUCACUACUGUUUGACACAUUUGCUUCAAAAUUUUGAAUAAUAGUAUUGAUAGAAUUUGCUUCCAUGUUUUUUAUUCUUUUUUUGGCAUAAAACCAAUCUUUUGGUCGAAUAAUUUCUUCGCACAUUUUGUAAUAUCAGAUCUUUUUAUUUUUGAUGAAAUAUUUACCAUUUAGUAAAAACAAAAUUCUCAUUUCAUUAAAUAUAUAUUUAUUGCUUAAUAUGUGCUGAAUCAGAUCGCCUAACCAUCUGAGAGAUCGGAGACUUGAAGAGGCUCCUUGAAGACUUUGAAACCAAGUUUGUGCUCAAUGUACUCAUAGAUGCCCGAUAUAGGUAGUGCCGCAUGAGAAAAAGAGAGAGAGAGAGGAUUACUAUAAUGAACUCAUUGAGACUAAUAAGUUUUCUAUAAUGCAUUCAUCGAGACUAAAAGAAAUUUUUUGGCAGGUCAGUAACACAGGUUUAGGUUAUCUUGUCUCUCCAACAACGUUUUAAUGUAUCUUUACACUCUCAAACUUGAACCGUACAAAAAAAAGUUUUUAAUGUAUACAUUAAAUAAGUUUCAACUUGGACUUCUCUCAUUUGAAAAAAAAUACUUACCGUCCAAUCACACAUUCACAAUGUUAUGAUUUUUGAUGAUCCUAACACAGGUCUAGAUUCUCUCUGUCUCUCCAACAACAAUUUAAUGUAUUUCUACACUCUCAAAUUUGAACCGUACAAAACAAAGUUUUUAACGUAUACAUUAAAUAAGUUUCAAUAUGGAAUUCCCUCGUAUAAAAAAAAAUACUUGUCCUCCAAUCACACAUUCACAAUGACACUACUAACACAGGUCUAGGUUCUCUCGUCUCCACACAAUAACGUUUUAAUGUAUUACUACACUUUCAAACUUUAACCGUACAAAAAAAAAAGUUUUUAACGUACAUUAAAUAAGUUUCAAAUUGGAGUUCCCUCGUUUGAAAAAAAUACUUGCCGUCCAAUCACAAAUUCACAAUGUUAUGAUUUUAUCAAAAAUCAAACAUUCAAAAAUAAAACGCAAAUCAAUAGCCAAAAACAUGAAAAAAAUAAGUAUCUGUAAAAUCCUACAAUCCAAAACAGCCUCUGUACUCUUUUUUUCUUUUUUUCUUUCUGACAUUUGCAAUUUUUUUUUUUUUUUUUUAAAAAGUGUAUCACCAAAGGUCCACGUCAUGGCUGCAUUUUGUCGACACAAUUCUCGACGGCGCCGUCAAUUUAUCCACCGUUACAUCGCAGUUAACUUUAAC